This 140-nucleotide unclassified non-coding RNA is filed under the name uncultured fungus. RNAcentral describes it as "sequence contains ITS1". The record is from RNAcentral. Lineage: Eukaryota; Fungi.
GUUUACUUUUUUGGUAUGUUUCGACAUGCAUCACUCCGAGUUUAAAAAAAACGCCAUUUUCACAGGGUGAGAAACAUGUGGACGGGCUCUGCGCGAGACCCAAUUCACUAAUGAUCCUUCCGCAGGUUCACCUACGGAAA